UCAUUUGGUGAAGUUAAUUUUUGAUUAUUUGCAGAUCAACUUUGACAACUUCAAAGCAAUAAUAACGUUUGUGAUGUUACGUUGUAUGUUGUCUUGUCCCCCUCUGCUGGUUGUAAUGUGUAACUGUUUGUAACCUGUUGACCUUUUUCCCUAGGGUGUGUAUGGUUGGGGGUGAUUGAGGAAGGUGCAAAUAAGAAGGCAGGAACUGCCCGGCUCUCGUAUCUCUCUCUCCUUGGCUCCUGAGAGUCAUGACAGAAUGUCUAUUCUUUAUCAAUGUUGUCUGAGUAACCUGGUAGAGUGUUUAUCCCGUUAUUGUGGCUUUUGUUCAUUGUGUUAAGGGAUCCUGUGGCUUUGGUGGUAGACGUAUAUCAAUGCAGAAACCAGCAAAGUGUACUUGGUAGAUCCAUCACAGAACUCUGCAGAGCAGGCUGACUGAGACCUGGCAGCAAAAAGAUUUCAUGAGUUCUUUAAAAUGAGGAGGACCUGUCACAACAAGAGCGACUGGGUGGAUGUGAAAUUCAGAGGAGGAGUUAUGCAACAGCCAGUUCAGCAGGACGGAAACAGUUGUGGGGUUAUAGUUAUCAUGAUGGCAAAGGCAGUAAUGGAGGCAUUUCCAGAACUCCCCAACAAAAGAGAUGGCACUUGAACACAGAGCCAUGGCUGAAACAAUGCUUGAAGCAUCGGUGUUUGACACAGAAAGCAACUGUGCCAAACCACCCACUCCAGGACCUUCCAUCACAGACUGGAUUCAGUGUGACAGCUGUUCAAGAUGGUUCCACGCAGAGUGCCAUCAGAUGGACAGCGCAAAAUUUCAAGACGUAAACACUGCGGAGUGGGAUUGCAAUUUGUGCAAAGAAAAGAAUCCAUACAGGAGAGACAAUUAGCAUAACCACUUACAUAAAUGGCCCAUUUG
This is a long non-coding RNA of Labrus mixtus (cuckoo wrasse), 913 nucleotides long. RefSeq lists it as uncharacterized. The record is from RefSeq and is a predicted model, not a curated record. Lineage: Eukaryota; Metazoa; Chordata; Actinopteri; Labriformes; Labridae. The transcript is spliced from 6 exons.